Long non-coding RNA from Ochotona princeps (American pika), 382 nucleotides. RefSeq lists it as uncharacterized. The transcript is spliced from 2 exons. The record is from RefSeq and is a predicted model, not a curated record. Lineage: Eukaryota; Metazoa; Chordata; Mammalia; Lagomorpha; Ochotonidae.
CUGCCUGGCAACGCGGCCCGCCCCAUCCACGCGGGAAAGCCAGCGGGGUUCACUCUACCUCCUUUUUCUUCUGUCCUCCCCCGAGCUGGAUGCAGAGCAGCAGCAGCAGGAGGAGAAAGGGAAAGCUGCCCGUGGGCAGUGAUCUGGAAAUGAAGAUUUAAUAUCUCCAAUAUGUAUCUGUAGCUGCUGUGAGCUCCCAUAGAUUUGUCAAAAGGACUCACCCCAUCUGUAACCUGUUAUCUACACCAGGCUGUGUCCCCAAAGUGAUCCCAAAACCCAUUCUAAAUAUUUGCUCAAAAAAAUGUAUGUUACAUGACAGAGUGUACAGUGUCCCAAUCCAUAUUGCCAAGCUAUUUUCAAUAAUUUUCCAUUUAUCCCCUUC